This 638-nucleotide ribosomal RNA is filed under the name uncultured Actinomycetes bacterium. RNAcentral's name for it is "bacterial SSU rRNA". It matches the Rfam family "Bacterial small subunit ribosomal RNA", at positions 232 to 885 of the family's 1533-position model. Lineage: Bacteria; Bacillati; Actinomycetota; Actinomycetes. The record is from RNAcentral.
CGCGGCCUAUCAGCUUGUUGGAGAGGUAACGGCUCACCAAGGCAUCGACGGGUAGCUGGUCUGAGAGGAUGAUCAGCCACACUGGAACUGAGACACGGUCCAGACUCCUACGGGAGGCAGCAGUGGGGAAUCUUGCACAAUGGGCGCAAGCCUGAUGCAGCGAUGCCGCGUGCGGGAAGAAGGCCCUAGGGUUGUAAACCGCUUUCAGUAGGGAAGAAAAUGACGGUACCUACAGAAGAAGGUGCGGCCAACUACGUGCCAGCAGCCGCGGUGACACGUAGGCACCAAGCGUUGUCCGGAUUUAUUGGGCGUAAAGAGCUCGUAGGCGGUUCCGUAAGUCGGAUGUGAAAACUCAGGGCUCAACCCUGAGACGCCAUCUGAUACUGCGGUGACUAGAGUCCGGUAGGGGAGCAUGGAAUUCCUGGUGUAGCGGUGGAAUGCGCAGAUAUCAGGAGGAACACCAAUGGCGAAGGCAGUGCUCUGGGCCGGUACUGACGCUGAGGAGCGAAAGCAUGGGGAGCAAACAGGAUUAGAUACCCUGGUAGUCCAUGCCGUAAACGUUGGGCACUAGGUGUGGGGUCUUCUAACGGAUUCCGUGCCGUAGCUAACGCAUUAAGUGCCCCGCCUGGGGAGUACGG